This 594-nucleotide ribosomal RNA is filed under the name Candida albicans. RNAcentral describes it as "eukaryotic LSU rRNA". It matches the Rfam family "Eukaryotic large subunit ribosomal RNA", at positions 40 to 648 of the family's 3401-position model. The record is from RNAcentral. Lineage: Eukaryota; Fungi; Ascomycota; Pichiomycetes; Serinales; Debaryomycetaceae.
AUAUCAAUAAGCGGAGGAAAAGAAACCAACAGGGAUUGCCUCAGUAGCGGCGAGUGAAGCGGCAAAAGCUCAAAUUUGAAAUCUGGCGUCUUUGGCGUCCGAGUUGUAAUUUGAAGAAGGUAUCUUUGGGCCCGGCUCUUGUCUAUGUUCCUUGGAACAGGACGUCACAGAGGGUGAGAAUCCCGUGCGAUGAGAUGACCCGGGUCUGUGUAAAGUUCCUUCGACGAGUCGAGUUGUUUGGGAAUGCAGCUCUAAGUGGGUGGUAAAUUCCAUCUAAAGCUAAAUAUUGGCGAGAGACCGAUAGCGAACAAGUACAGUGAUGGAAAGAUGAAAAGAACUUUGAAAAGAGAGUGAAAAAGUACGUGAAAUUGUUGAAAGGGAAGGGCUUGAGAUCAGACUUGGUAUUUUGCAUGUUGCUCUCUCGGGGGCGGCCGCUGCGGUUUACCGGGCCAGCAUCGGUUUGGAGCGGCAGGAUAAUGGCGGAGGAAUGUGGCACGGCUUCUGCUGUGUGUUAUAGCCUCUGACGAUGCUGCCAGCCUAGACCGAGGACUGCGGUUUUUUACCUAGGAUGUUGGCAUAAUGAUCUUAAGUCGC